RNAcentral lists this long non-coding RNA (769 nucleotides) under Physcomitrium patens. RNAcentral's name for it is "long non-coding RNA (PPAT_LNC009489)". The record is from RNAcentral. Lineage: Eukaryota; Viridiplantae; Streptophyta; Bryopsida; Funariales; Funariaceae.
AGAGUUUAUCCUGGAAAGAAGAUGCCUGGUCAAAUGGGAAGCGGCAGAGCCAAGAUUCGCAAGUUGGAAAUUGUGAAGGUCGACCCUGAGCUCCGCGCUCUCCUCAUCAAGGGUUCGGUACCCGGAAAGCCAGGCAACCUCCUCAGAAUCACACCAGCAAAGAUAGUGGGCAAGAACAUCCCCAAGAAUUAGGUCUUCAGGUUUACUCUUGUCGUAGGUCAUUUGCUACUUCUUAUCUUUUUGGAGGAGUACGCUAUGUUACUGCCCGCAGUUAAUGCAUUAGCCGAUAAUCAACUUGUAAAGUUAGAUGCACGAGAAAGAUUGUGGAAUUCAAUCAUUGUGGCAACCAUCCAUGUAGGGGUCAUUUUUUUGACGCAGCCAUAUUGUGUGAAUGUUCUAUACUUGCGGCUUCUAUGUCUUAUUCCUGAAACCUGCUAUCUAGAGUAAGGGUGGGUUAUUAAAUGUAUGUAAGCUUACAGAGUUCACAGAAGAGAUUUGUUCUCAUGAGGACUGAGAGUAACCAAAUAGACGCACAUCUUUAGGUUCUGAGCAAUGUCUCCAACCUUGUCUUUCGAAGCCCCGAGAGUGUUUCCAAGCUCGUCUUUAAUUGUAAUAGUUAGGUGUCCUGUUUUAUUGCUGUCAGUGAUCAUUGCAGCCCUGUCUGCUUCAUUGUUGUGAAGUCAAAGUUAUUCCACAGGUCUUUAUGUGAAUUUUAGCCACGUCUAUUUGAUGAGCUUGCCUCCUCGCGUUUAAAUAUAGUGAUUGUCGG